This 434-nucleotide ribosomal RNA is filed under the name uncultured Escherichia sp. RNAcentral's name for it is "bacterial SSU rRNA". It matches the Rfam family "Bacterial small subunit ribosomal RNA", at positions 958 to 1392 of the family's 1533-position model. The record is from RNAcentral. Lineage: Bacteria; Pseudomonadati; Pseudomonadota; Gammaproteobacteria; Enterobacterales; Enterobacteriaceae.
AACGCGAAGAACCUUACCUGGUCUUGACAUCCACGGAAGUUUUCAGAGAUGAGAAUGUGCCUUCGGGAACCGUGAGACAGGUGCUGCAUGGCUGUCGUCAGCUCGUGUUGUGAAAUGUUGGGUUAAGUCCCGCAACGAGCGCAACCCUUAUCCUUUGUUGCCAGCGGUCCGGCCGGGAACUCAAAGGAGACUGCCAGUGAUAAACUGGAGGAAGGUGGGGAUGACGUCAAGUCAUCAUGGCCCUUACGACCAGGGCUACACACGUGCUACAAUGGCGCAUACAAAGAGAAGCGACCUCGCGAGAGCAAGCGGACCUCAUAAAGUGCGUCGUAGUCCGGAUUGGAGUCUGCAACUCGACCCCAUGAAGUCGGAAUCGCUAGUAAUCGUGGAUCAGAAUGCCACGGUGUAUACGUUCCCGGGUCUUGUACACACCG